This 527-nucleotide unclassified non-coding RNA is filed under the name Hevea brasiliensis (rubber tree). The record is from RNAcentral. Lineage: Eukaryota; Viridiplantae; Streptophyta; Magnoliopsida; Malpighiales; Euphorbiaceae.
AUUGCAUUGCCAGAAAGUGCCAGAUGGAUCAGUGUAGAAUAAGCUCGGCCCCUUCUCAUCAUGGCCAGCAAUGAGAAGAGCUACACCAAAUGGUCGAGACAUGGACUCCUCGUCGCCUUCGCCGAAUCUUAGGGCUAAAUCACAAAGAGCUUGUGUUGUAGACUCCACAGUCAUCGGUUCGCCAUAUGAGAAUCGAUGGUUCUGUGUCUCAACUCGAGCAUGUUCAACAAGUGUGUGAGCAUCAGCAAUUAAUCCACUCAUUGCACAUCCUAUAUGCUCAUCAAUUUCCAUGAUUUUUUCCACACUACUUGGUUCCAGUAGUGGAGAUGUAAUACGUUUCUCAACCGCAAGCACAACGCCAUCCUUUGUUUUCAAACCAAUAGCCGUCGAACCAAGCUUAAUAGCCUCAAUCGCGUACUCAACCUGAAACAAUCGACCUUCAGGAGAGAAGGUGUUCACACCCCUAUCAUACUCGGUCCUGGUGAGAAACAUUUUGCGAUUCAAUUGAAGUAAACGGCUAGAUUCUG